Molecule: transfer RNA, 70 nt
Filed under: Marmota monax (woodchuck)
Lineage: Eukaryota; Metazoa; Chordata; Mammalia; Rodentia; Sciuridae
Description: tRNA.Ala
Rfam family: tRNA (bases 5-65)
About the family: Transfer RNA (tRNA) molecules are approximately 80 nucleotides in length. Their secondary structure includes four short double-helical elements and three loops (D, anti-codon, and T loops).
Source: RNAcentral
GCGAUGUGGCUCAGUGGUAGAGUGCUUGCCUAGCAUGCAUGAGGCACUGGGUUCGAUCCUCAGCAACACA